AGACGUCUACAUUAGAUACCCGUGUAGUCCCAGCCGUAAACUGUGCGCGUUAGGUGUAUCGGUGACCACGAGUCACCGAGGUGCCGAAGGGAAACCGUGAAACGUGCCGCCUGGGAAGUACGGUCGCAAGGCUGAAACUUAAAGGAAUUGGCGGGGAGCACCACAACGGGUGGAGCCUGCGGUUUAAUUGGACUCAACGCCGGGAAGCUCACCGGAUAAGACAGCGGAAUGAUUGCCGGGCUGAAGACUCUGCAUGACUAGCUG
This 264-nucleotide ribosomal RNA is filed under the name uncultured archaeon. Its description in RNAcentral is "partial 16S ribosomal RNA". It matches the Rfam family "Archaeal small subunit ribosomal RNA", at positions 717 to 982 of the family's 1478-position model. The record is from RNAcentral.